UGCAAGGUGCAGUGUUGGG
This 19-nucleotide non-coding RNA is filed under the name Mus musculus (house mouse). Lineage: Eukaryota; Metazoa; Chordata; Mammalia; Rodentia; Muridae. The record is from RNAcentral.